GCGAGCAUAGCUUAGUAGGCAGAGCGUCAGAUUGUGGCUCUGAAGGUCACGGGUUCGAUCCCCGUUGCUCGCCCCA
RNAcentral lists this transfer RNA (76 nucleotides) under Ignavibacteria bacterium. Its description in RNAcentral is "tRNA-His". It matches the Rfam family "tRNA". From Rfam's summary of the family: Transfer RNA (tRNA) molecules are approximately 80 nucleotides in length. Their secondary structure includes four short double-helical elements and three loops (D, anti-codon, and T loops). Lineage: Bacteria; Pseudomonadati; Ignavibacteriota; Ignavibacteria. The record is from RNAcentral.